Triticum aestivum (bread wheat) is the source of this 2828-nucleotide long non-coding RNA. RefSeq lists it as uncharacterized. The transcript is spliced from 2 exons. NCBI's taxonomy places the organism in Eukaryota, Viridiplantae, Streptophyta, Magnoliopsida, Poales, Poaceae. The record is from RefSeq and is a predicted model, not a curated record.
CCUAAUUUCUUUACCCACAUCCAGUCCCCACCUCUUCCCUCAGCGCCGCACUCACCAAGUCAACAUCGAUCCCCAUCGCCCCGCAUCAUCGCCGCCCGGUGCCGUCGCCUUGGAUCCCCCACCCGCACCAUCGCCGCCCGGUGCCGUCGCCCCCAUCCCCUUCGUCCAGUACCGCGCCGCCCCCUCUCUCUCUCGUCGCUCCUCCUCUCCCCCGAUCUGGAUCUGGAGGGAGAGCGCCUGGUCGCCGCCCUACCUUCUCUACCCGUCGCUCCCCAUCUCUCCUCCCUCCCACUGUGCCUGCCUCCAUGAGCUCCGGCCUCUCCCCAGCCGGCGACGCCCCUUUCCUUCCACAGCCAACGACGACCAAUCGUCUCCGACGAGCCGCUGUGGCGUGCCCUCCUCCUCCUACUUGAGUCAGAUCCGGCCACCCCAGCCUCGGAUCCGGCCACCCCAGCCUCGCAACCGGCAUCCACCGCCCACCUGCAUGCCUCAUCGUCGUAGGACACCGCCAGGAUUGUUGAGCUGCUGCUCCUUGUGCUGCUGUUGAUGUGUUGUGUUGAUUGGUUGCCUGCCGUUGGCGAGCAUGGCAUCUGGGAGCCAAAUAUCAUUGGAGUAUGGAGAUUUGAGAAAACCUUGAUGGGUCCAAAGCUGUCCAGAUGCAUUGUGAGUGAUGGUUGAGAUGUGGUGCAAAAUGGAAUGGAAUAAACUUCUUGUGCUUGUAGGGAGCGGAAGCGGAUGUGAUCGGGGAUCACCGUGAAGAGAGUGCUUCCUUGGCUCGCUACCAAAGGAAAAUGGUGAGUUUGUUACUUGAGUAAAACUAUCAUCUUUGUUCUUAAUUUUUAUUGUCUCUUUAAUGAGUAGAUACUAUGUAGUAUCUUGGCACAUCGUUAGGAUUAAGACAUACAUCUAUUGCCUCUCUAAUCAAUACAUACUAUAGUACUUGCUCUCUCUAAAAAAUGGUCGAACAAUGCCAAACUGAAAGUAACAACGAUGCUGGCACUCGUUCAUUUAUAGUUCCAUAUAGAAGAUGCAAAAGGCUGGAACUUCAUGCCUUGACGUGUAACAUACUGCAACUUAAUGCUGCUUGUCAGUAUGGAACACCACGGGUAGUUAGCGCUUGUGUUUUGCUCAUGCUCCUGGCAAAUCCUUUUGGUUCAGAAAGCUUAUGUGUUCUGGUAUGCUCCUUGGUAUAUUUCAGAGUGACUAGUUUCUACUCAUUCCUGUUUCUGUCUUUAAGAAUAGUUUGGAAACUUAAAUGAGGAUGUGUUGCUUUCUCCAACACCUGUAAGCUAUGUUCUUAAAUAUUGUUUCUUAAAUUACUGCAGAGUUAAGGUUCUUUUUUCCCGGUGUAUUGCUUUGAAGAAUAAGGCCUUAAAGGGUGUGUCUUUAAAACUCUACUAGUAUUGUUGUUCAUGUACUAGUCUUGUUGCCGUCACUGGGCAUUUUCAAUAUAUAUAUUUUGAUAUUUGGAGAAUAAGUAGUUUAUAUGAAUCAUAUGCUGGACGAAAAUAUUUCCAUAUAUAAAUAUGCCAUGACUAAUUGGUAAUUUUAUUACAUGUUGGAUGCUUUUUUGACCUUCUGGGAGAUAUGAUAUAUGAGCAAGUGUUUCAAACUUUUGACCUUUUCUGUUAAGUUUAUAUGUAAACUACUACCCUUUGAAGAUAUGAGAAUGAAUGCCAUGUGAUACAAGUUAAGCUUGCUUACUGUACUGUGAACUGAACCUGCCUUUUGUCUCUUGGGAUGUUGAAAUUUCACUAGUAUAUAUAUCACAAGUCAAACUGAACUUGAGAGUUCCAUCCAUACGACAAAAUCUUCAGCGAGAGCUUAGCUAAUCGCUUCAACUCUGUUGUUCUUAAAUUUCUAUUAUCAUAUAGGUUGAGCAUUUGUAUCAUAGCAUUUGCGUGAACUAUGGGUUGGACCGUCAACAAUGCAAAGAUUCUUUAUUUGGAAAAUCAGUGCAUAGACAAUAGAUGAAUCAUUUGAGUAGUUCUGUGGCAUGGUUUGAGAUCUUCUGUAGUCCAGAGUGAUCUUGCAUUUCUUUGCCUGCAUAGAAUCCACUUCCUCGCCACAUUUUCCAUUUUCUCAAAUGCACAGAAGGUAAUCUGUGUCACUUUUCUCCAUCUUGAUUGCUUAAUGCUCAUUUCUUUACAUUAGUGCAUCUAAGUGGACAAUCUUUUAGUAAUGGGUGUGUGUGUUCUCAUUCCAGUAAAUAAAUAUUAAGAAAUUACAUUUGAGUUGACUAGGCCUUAAUAUCUGAUUCACUCAAACAAUUAAAUGGAUGUUAAAUGUAAAAGCCACAUUGUAAAGUGCUAAGAGCAUUGUUUGUUUAUAAUCUGGUAUUUGUUCCGUAAUCUACUAUCUGGUUGAAGCUAUGGAGUCUAGUGAGCAGGUUGUGCUUUUAUUAAAUACUUCUGAUAUGUGGUAAUUGGUUUGCUUCUUUUUUCAGGUCUGCUUUUGCACCCCACAAGUUUAUAGAUAUAUGUUUUGUGAGCUAAAAGGACCUAUUGGUAGAAUCUAACUCGGUUUUUGGAUUUUUGGAUUUUAAUAUCUAUCUGAUGAAGUAGCAAUCUAGGAUGGAACCAGUUUCUAACUGAAACUAAAUGUUAUAUUUGGUGAUGUUAUACUGGAGACAUGAACCUACAAAUGUAUGUAUGUAUACAUGAUGGAUUGUUGUCCUUUUGGCUGUGAUGUAGUACUGGACUUGCGAACCUGUAUGUAUGCUGUGAUGCAGUACUAGACUCGUGAACCUACAAAUGUAUACAUAUGUAUGUAUGCAUGCAGACAUGAUGUAUUGUUGAGAUAUAUAUUAUGAUGCAACUUGAAUUACU